RNAcentral lists this ribosomal RNA (437 nucleotides) under uncultured bacterium. RNAcentral's name for it is "bacterial SSU rRNA". It matches the Rfam family "Bacterial small subunit ribosomal RNA", at positions 30 to 467 of the family's 1533-position model. The record is from RNAcentral.
AUUGAACGCUGGCGGCAUGCCUUACACAUGCAAGUCGAACGGCAGCACGGGAGCAAUCCUGGUGGCGAGUGGCGAACGGGUGAGUAAUAUAUCGGAACGUGCCCAGUCGUGGGGGAUAACGUAGCGAAAGCUACGCUAAUACCGCAUACGAUCUACGGAUGAAAGCGGGGGAUCGCAAGACCUCGCGCGAUUGGAGCGGCCGAUAUCAGAUUAGGUAGUUGGUGAGGUAAAGGCUCACCAAGCCGACGAUCUGUAGCUGGUCUGAGAGGACGACCAGCCACACUGGGACUGAGACACGGCCCAGACUCCUACGGGAGGCAGCAGUGGGGAAUUUUGGACAAUGGGCGCAAGCCUGAUCCAGCAAUGCCGCGUGCAGGAUGAAGGCCUUCGGUUGUAAACUGACUUUGUUACGGUAACGAACGGUAGAGCUCUAAUAC